AACACAAUGAUGAUAUUGAGGAUUUUGGCAGUGGCGACAUCAGUUGCCAUGAGAUUUCAAUCCAAAAAAACGACUUCUCUUUCCACUGAGCAUU
Leersia perrieri is the source of this 94-nucleotide small nucleolar RNA. It matches the Rfam family "Small nucleolar RNA Z152/R70/R12/". Rfam says of the family: Z152 is a member of the C/D class of snoRNA which contain the C (UGAUGA) and D (CUGA) box motifs. Most of the members of the box C/D family function in directing site-specific 2'-O-methylation of substrate RNAs. This family also contains snos R70 and R12 from Arabidopsis thaliana. The record is from Rfam. NCBI's taxonomy places the organism in Eukaryota, Viridiplantae, Streptophyta, Magnoliopsida, Poales, Poaceae.